Molecule: non-coding RNA, 214 nt
Organism: Cinara cedri
Lineage: Eukaryota; Metazoa; Arthropoda; Insecta; Hemiptera; Aphididae
Source: the annotation of a GenBank genome assembly
UUUAUGACACGAUUAUCUUGUUGAUAUCUAAAAACAAUUUGUGAUUUAUAAUCUCCAAUAUGUUUCAUAUUAUCGCAUAAAUAUAAAUAAAUUCAAGGCGUUAGCAAAAUACGUCACGGGUCGACAAAUACAAUUUGCCACCAUUUUCAUCAUUGUUUAAUACAAUACAGUAAUUAGACAUUUAAGGGUCGAGAUAAAUGAAAAAGCACACAGG